UUCUAAGGAUGAGAUUAAAGGCGUGCA
Molecule: non-coding RNA, 27 nt
Filed under: Cricetulus griseus (Chinese hamster)
Lineage: Eukaryota; Metazoa; Chordata; Mammalia; Rodentia; Cricetidae
Source: RNAcentral